Molecule: ribosomal RNA, 157 nt
Filed under: Cytospora leucostoma
Lineage: Eukaryota; Fungi; Ascomycota; Sordariomycetes; Diaporthales; Cytosporaceae
Description: 5.8S ribosomal RNA
Rfam family: 5.8S ribosomal RNA
About the family: 5.8S ribosomal RNA (5.8S rRNA) is a component of the large subunit of the eukaryotic ribosome.
Source: RNAcentral
AAACUUUCAACAACGGAUCUCUUGGUUCUGGCAUCGAUGAAGAACGCAGCGAAAUGCGAUAAGUAAUGUGAAUUGCAGAAUUCAGUGAAUCAUCGAAUCUUUGAACGCACAUUGCGCCCUCCGGUAUUCCAGAGGGCAUGCCUGUUCGAGCGUCAUU